Molecule: long non-coding RNA, 594 nt
Filed under: Manacus vitellinus (golden-collared manakin)
Lineage: Eukaryota; Metazoa; Chordata; Aves; Passeriformes; Pipridae
Description: lncRNA (ENSMVIG00005015940.1)
Source: RNAcentral
CCCAAACGUGUGUAUGCACAUAACGAAGGUGCAAUUGUAAUUGUGCGGCUCUCCGGCCUGCCUGGCACGGCCCUUGCUUCCAACAGAAAGCUGACAAUCUCCGCUGCCUGGGCGAAACACAAAGGUCUCCCGUUCUUCCAAGGCUCCGGCCGAUAACGCUGCGCUGGGGAAUUGUGCGAACUCUGUGGCUCCGGAAAGCUGUUUAAAGUCCGUGAGAAAAUAUCUCCAUCCACCUUACACAUACUGUGUAUGCAUACAUUACUAUAAACACAAAUGGGCACAUAAAAACUAUAAAAUCACGCUAAGAAAGAACUAAAAAAUUGCUCUUUGGCCCCAAAUCUGUCAUUCAGGACAAUUGAAAUUUCUCCUUAAGCUGAAGGAAGCAUCAGCUGAGCAAAGUUACCAUGACAGAGAUCAAGCAAAAUGCUAUUAGGUAAAUACCCAACACAGUGAAGGUCUUUAUUGAUUUUUCAGCAAAAUGAAGUUACUGUACUUAUUUUAAAGAUCAAUUUUAUCACCUGAGCUUAGGUAUGUUGGACUUCAAACAAAGAAAGAGGGCAAUCCUUUAUAAACCCCUCUGUGACCCUAAACAGC